RNAcentral lists this ribosomal RNA (777 nucleotides) under uncultured Neocallimastigales. RNAcentral describes it as "partial large subunit ribosomal RNA". It matches the Rfam family "Eukaryotic large subunit ribosomal RNA", at positions 23 to 620 of the family's 3401-position model. Lineage: Eukaryota; Fungi; Neocallimastigomycota; Neocallimastigomycetes; Neocallimastigales. The record is from RNAcentral.
AGAGAGAGACAUGCGCGCAUAUCAAUAAGCGGAGGAAAAGAAACUAACAAGGAUUCCCUUAGUAACGGCGAGUGAAGCGGGAAGAGCUCAAAUUUGAAAUCUUCAAGGUUUUACCUUGACGAAUUGUAGUUUAAAGAAGUGUUUUCUGCUGAAGCUUUGGUAAAAGUUCUUUGGAAGUAGGACAUCAUAGAGGGUGAGAAUCCCGUAUUUGACCAUUAUUUUCAGCUUUGUGAUACACUUUCAAAGAGUCGGAUUGUUUGGGAAUGCAGUCCAAAAUGGGUGGUAAAUUUCAUCUAAAGCUAAAUAUUGGCGAGAGACCGAUAGCGAACAAGUACCGUGAGGGAAAGAUGAAAAGAACUUUGAAAAGAGAGUUAAACAGUACGUGAAAUUGUCAAAAGGGAAGCGUUUGACACCAGUGUUGUUUUCUCGAAAAUCAAUUAAAAAUGGCUCGAUUUUGUAUUGCUUGAGACCUUAAAAGCUCACUGUACAUUUUUCGUGUCUUUUUUAAUGCACUUUUCGUUUAACAAGUCAACAUCAGUUUCUUUUGUUGUAAAAGGGUCAUUGGAAGGUGGCCUUCUUUUCGGAGAAAGUGUUUAUAGCCUUUGGCCUCUGCAAUCGGAGAGACUGAGGUCUGCAGCGUAGACUCUUCGGGGUUAGAUACAUCUGUGCUAAGUUACUAGCUUUUUAUAGACAACUUGUUGACUAUAAUUAGUCUUGUAGCUUACUCGCUUAUGCUAUUUUACCUACGCUUAGGAUGUUGAAGAUGUAGCACAUCAU